RNAcentral lists this transfer RNA (76 nucleotides) under Afipia sp. Its description in RNAcentral is "tRNA-Thr". It matches the Rfam family "tRNA". Rfam says of the family: Transfer RNA (tRNA) molecules are approximately 80 nucleotides in length. Their secondary structure includes four short double-helical elements and three loops (D, anti-codon, and T loops). Lineage: Bacteria; Pseudomonadati; Pseudomonadota; Alphaproteobacteria; Hyphomicrobiales; Nitrobacteraceae. The record is from RNAcentral.
GCUCGCUUAGCUCAGGCGGUAGAGCACUUCAUUGGUAAUGAAGAGGUCGACAGUUCAAUCCUGUCUGGCAGCACCA